This is a small nuclear RNA of Daucus carota subsp. sativus, 204 nucleotides long. RefSeq annotates it as U2 spliceosomal RNA. The transcript has a single exon. The record is from RefSeq and is a predicted model, not a curated record. NCBI's taxonomy places the organism in Eukaryota, Viridiplantae, Streptophyta, Magnoliopsida, Apiales, Apiaceae.
AUACCUUUCUCGGCCUUUUGGCUAAGCUCAAGGAGUCUCUGUUCUUAAUCAGUUUAAUAUCUGCUAUGUGGGCCCAAUGGUCCCCACGAUUAUUAAAUAAUUUUUACGGGGGGGAAGGCCCCCCGCCACCUAAGCUUGCUAUUGGGGUUACGGCGAGUCGCCCAAGUGCUUCUUGUGCACUACUGCUCGGCCAGCGCACCCCAC